UGCCAGCAGCCGCGGUAAUACGGAAGGUGCAAGCGUUAAUCGGAAUUACUGGGCGUAAAGCGCGCGUAGGCGGUUUGUUAAGUCAGAUGUGAAAUCCCCGGGCUCAACCUGGGAACUGCAUUUGAUACUGGCAGGCUAGAGUUUGGUAGAGGAUAGUGGAAUUCCAGGUGUAGCGGUGAAAUGCGUAGAUAUCUGGAGGAACAUCAUUGGCGAAGGCGGCUAUCUGGACCAAAACUGACGCUGAGGUGCGAAAGCGUGGGGAGCAAACAGGAUUAGAUA
This 279-nucleotide ribosomal RNA is filed under the name uncultured bacterium. Its description in RNAcentral is "partial 16S ribosomal RNA". It matches the Rfam family "Bacterial small subunit ribosomal RNA", at positions 506 to 784 of the family's 1533-position model. The record is from RNAcentral.